RNA transcript from Solea senegalensis (Senegalese sole), 2110 nucleotides. It is a transcript of the gene named serine/threonine-protein kinase DCLK2-like, with no coding region annotated. The transcript has 3 exons. NCBI's taxonomy places the organism in Eukaryota, Metazoa, Chordata, Actinopteri, Pleuronectiformes, Soleidae. The record is from RefSeq and is a predicted model, not a curated record.
GUGUGUGUGUGUGUGUGUGUGUGUAGGAUGAUGCAGUGAUGGAGAACAACAUGCAGAUGGAGGUGACAGGUAAACUAAAAGCACACUUCAACACUGCGCCGAAGCACAACAACACAACAGCUGGAGUGUCAGUCAUCAUGCUCCAAGGCAGGGAACACAGCUCUUGAUAAGGAGAACCUCCAGCUCACCACUCGUCAUUGUGCAGGCUCAACCUCACCAGCUCACAAAGAAGAACCUUCUUCUCUUCCAAUAAAACCAGCUUCACCAACAAAGUCGGGACCAGAUUCCCCAACCAAACAGGCAUCAGACACGAGAGCACCAAAACCUGCUGAGCUGGCACCACCACCACCACCACCCGCUGAGACCACAGAGCCUGUCGAGCCUGAAGAUGAUCUUCUCUGCUCUCCACCCGUUUCUUCACCCGUCAACCCUGUCGCAGCAUUCCACGCUCCUCCUCCAUCCCUGUUUCCCUCUCCUCCUUCUACACCUCCAAGAUCCACAACCCCACCGUGUCCAGCUGAGCCGCCACGUCCCAGCAUGCUCUCUGCUGCAGAGCGUACGCAGGAGGUUUGAAAGUCUUCUCUCCGCUGCUCGUCCAUCCCCCGUGUACGUCGUCAGACAUGGAAUGAGGAGCGUAAACAUUGACCCUGAGCUUUUCCUGUGGCUGUAAACUGAGCCGGUGACUGCUGUGUCCACGCGUGUUUCUCACUGAGGCAGAAGAUGUGAGACAUUUUCUCAGAGUUUGAAAAAAAAAAAAGACUUGAUUGUGUGAGUGUGUGUGUAUAUAUAUAUAUAUAGGUCUAUAUUUAUUAUGGAGGAUGUGGAUUGUGGGAAUUUAAAUCAGUGUUCCGAGUGGUUUUCUGUGGACGUCAUAAAUUACUGUAUCACAUUAAUGUGAAUUUUCUUUUCCCUUUUAUUUAUUACCUCAUUUCUUCUGCGUCUACUGUAAAUAUCCACCACACAGAGUGGUGUUCCUUUCCUUUAGCAUAUCACAUGUCCAAACUUCUGUCGUCUGUAGCCACCUGCAGCCUCUGUGAGCACAAAUAGAUUUCAGUUAAGUUUUUCCGGCAACUUAAAGAUGUAGAGCAUGAACGAAACCGAUGUAAUACCUGCCAAAGUACCGAGCAGCUAAGAAUUCUUGUGUUCUUUAAAUCAUGUAUGUAAAAGUCACAGAUAUGAGUUUAAAACUUCUAGAAACCAACCACAGGUCGUUUCCUCUCGUCUCCACUGCAGUCGGUGAACAUUUUAACCAAAGAUUCAAAUUGUAAAUACGUUCAUAUGCCUGAAGAUACACAAACCACAUCGAAUUUAGAAGCAGAAAGGAAUCAAUUUUCCUAUUUUCCUUUUAAAUGAUCUCCCAAAUCUCAGUUAGAUACUCUCAUCCUAUAAGGGAACGUGACCCACAGGUUGGGAACCCAUGCACUACAGCAUCUAGUAAUUGUUUUAUGGUGUUCAGUAAAAGUUGUCUUUCCAGAAAUAGCAAUUGUUUGCGCUCUCUGAUCAGCAUUUGCUACCCAAUAAACACACAUAGAUAAACACUACCGUCUAAAUGAUACAGCUACUGUUUGCGAUGUUAGUUGUUGAAAUGCAACAAAGAUUGUCACCAAAAAUCAAAUCCACAGAAAAAGAUCUGGUCCAAUGAAACAAAGACGACACCGUCACGUUGCAGAAAAUAUGAAGUGACUGGAUUUUUAGUUUUUUUGUAAUAUAUUGGAUUUACAAAGUAUGAAUGAAAGCUUCGUUUGCCUCUCUGCCUUUGACUCUUGUGCAUCCAGAGUUGCUUGAUAUCGGAUAUUUCAUUUGUUUCCAUUUAAACUGGACAGUUUAUCCCAGAAAGCUUCGCGCGCUCAGCUGCAAGAACGCUCGUCUCCCUCUUCCACGACCUCCCAGUGAGACACUCACACACACACACGUAGUGCACUUGGUUAUUUAGCUUCUAUGAUGUAUUUGUAGUUUAAGAGUAGUGUUUCAUAUGUUUGUAAAGGGAAACAUGUACGAGGACCGUUAACAGGUAGAUCGACCGUGUCUAAAUAGUCUUCGUUAGUGGCUGCGUUUGCUGCUCUACUGUUAAAACAAAACAAAAAAAAAAAGCAAUAAAGGUUUGAAAUGA